Molecule: ribosomal RNA, 416 nt
Filed under: Cryptococcus sp. LCF-20
Lineage: Eukaryota; Fungi; Basidiomycota; Tremellomycetes; Tremellales; Cryptococcaceae
Description: eukaryotic LSU rRNA
Rfam family: 5.8S ribosomal RNA (bases 92-245)
Source: RNAcentral
CUUUAUCAAUCCCUAACACCUGUGCAUUUGGACGCUUCGGCGUCUUUAUACAAACUUAUCAGUAACGAAUGUAAAGUAUUAUAACAAAUACAACUUUCAACAACGGAUCUCUUGGCUCUCGCAUCGAUGAAGAACGCAGCGAAAUGCGAUAAGUAAUGUGAAUUGCAGAACACAGUGAAUCAUCGAAUCUUUGAACGCACAUUGCGCCUUUUGGUAUUCCGAAAGGCAUGCCUGUUUGAGUGUCAUAUAGACUCUCACAUAUAGUUUUCUAUAUGUGAGCUUUGGACGCUGCCAGCGAUGGCUCGUCUUAAAUGACUAAGUGGAAUGCGUAAUAAGUUUUCGCUCUCCCCACUCUAAACUACUUUUGUUUAGACCUCAAAUCAGGUAGGACUACCCGCUGAACUUAAGCAUAUCAA